Molecule: ribosomal RNA, 253 nt
Filed under: uncultured bacterium
Lineage: Bacteria
Description: partial 16S ribosomal RNA
Rfam family: Bacterial small subunit ribosomal RNA
Source: RNAcentral
UACGUAGGGUGCGAGCGUUGUCCGGAAUUAUUGGGCGUAAAGAGCUUGUAGGCGGUUUGUCGCGUCUGCUGUGAAAAUCCGGGGCUCAACCCCGGACUUGCAGUGGGUACGGGCAGACUAGAGUGUGGUAGGGGAGAUUGGAAUUCCUGGUGUAGCGGUGAAAUGCGCAGAUAUCAGGAGGAACACCGGUGGCGAAGGCGGGUCUCUGGGCAACAACUGACGCUGAGGAGCGAAAGCGUGGGGAGCGAACAGG